UGUCCGGAUUUAUUGGGCGUAAAGCGAGUGCAGGCGGCUCGAUAAGUCUGAUGUGAAAGCCUUCGGCUCAACCGGAGAAUUGCAUCAGAAACUGUCGAGCUUGAGUACAGAAGAGGAGAGUGGAACUCCAUGUGUAGCGGUGAAAUGCGUAGAUAUAUGGAAGAACACCGGUGGCGAAGGCGGCUCUCUGAUCUGUUACUGACGCUGAGGCUCGAAAGCAUGGGUAGCGAACAGGAUUAGAUACCCUGGUAGUCAAGGGCGAAUUCGC
Molecule: ribosomal RNA, 268 nt
Filed under: uncultured Lactobacillaceae bacterium
Lineage: Bacteria; Bacillati; Bacillota; Bacilli; Lactobacillales; Lactobacillaceae
Description: partial 16S ribosomal RNA
Rfam family: Bacterial small subunit ribosomal RNA
Source: RNAcentral